Molecule: ribosomal RNA, 402 nt
Filed under: uncultured prokaryote
Description: bacterial SSU rRNA
Rfam family: Bacterial small subunit ribosomal RNA
Source: RNAcentral
UAGGGGAUAUUAGAAAUGGACGAAAGUCUGAUCUAGCAACACCGCGUGUGCGAAGAAGGCCUUCGGGUCGUAAAGCACUUUUUGGAAGGAAUAGGAAGGAAUGUACUUCCAGAAUAAGUCUCGGCUAACUACGUGCCAGCAGCCGCGGUAACACGUAGGAGGCGAACGUUAUCCGGAUUUACUGGGCGUAAAGCGCGUGUAGGUGGUUUGGUAAGUAGAGCGUGAAAGCUCCUGGCUCAACUGGGAGAGGUCGUUCUAAACUGCCGGACUAGAGGAUGGUAGAGGGAGGUGGAAUUCCGGGUGUAGCGGUGGAAUGCGCAGAUAUCCGGAGGAACACCAGUGGCGAAAGCGGCCUCCUGGCCCAUUUCUGACGCUCAGACACGAAAGCUAAGGUAGCAAACG